UACGUAGGGCGCAAGCGUUGUCCGGAAUUAUUGGGCGUAAAGAGCUCGUAGGCGGUUUGUCGCGUCUGCUGUGAAAACCUCAGGCUCAACCUGGGGCUUGCAGUGGGUACGGGCAGACUAGAGUGCGGUAGGGGUGACUGGAACUCCUGGUGUAGCGGUGGAAUGCGCAGAUAUCAGGAGGAACACCGAUGGCGAAGGCAGGUCACUGGGCCGCAACUGACGCUGAGGAGCGAAAGCAUGGGGAGCGAACAGG
This 253-nucleotide ribosomal RNA is filed under the name uncultured bacterium. RNAcentral's name for it is "partial 16S ribosomal RNA". It matches the Rfam family "Bacterial small subunit ribosomal RNA", at positions 524 to 776 of the family's 1533-position model. The record is from RNAcentral.